CACCGCGGUUAUACGAGAGACCCAAAUUGAUAGUACUCGGCAUAAAGCGUGGUGAAGAACAAGAACAAUAAAGCCGAACUCUUCCAAGGCUGUUAUACGCAACCGAAAGAAAGAAGACCAACAACGAAAGUGGCUUUACCCCAUCUGAACCCACGAAAGCCAGGAAA
RNAcentral lists this ribosomal RNA (167 nucleotides) under Deveximentum indicium. RNAcentral's name for it is "partial small subunit ribosomal RNA". Lineage: Eukaryota; Metazoa; Chordata; Actinopteri; Chaetodontiformes; Leiognathidae. The record is from RNAcentral.